UACGAAGGGGGCUAGCGUUGCUCGGAAUCACUGGGCGUAAAGGGUGCGUAGGCGGGUCUUUAAGUCAGGGGUGAAAUCCUGGAGCUCAACUCCAGAACUGCCUUUGAUACUGAGGAUCUUGAGUCCGGGAGAGGUGAGUGGAACUGCGAGUGUAGAGGUGAAAUUCGUAGAUAUUCGCAAGAACACCAGUAGCGAAGGCGGCUCACUGGCCCGGUACUGACGCUGAGGCACGAAAGCGUGGGGAGCAAACAGG
RNAcentral lists this ribosomal RNA (253 nucleotides) under uncultured bacterium. RNAcentral's name for it is "partial 16S ribosomal RNA". It matches the Rfam family "Bacterial small subunit ribosomal RNA", at positions 524 to 776 of the family's 1533-position model. The record is from RNAcentral.